Small nuclear RNA from Cyprinus carpio carpio, 118 nucleotides. Its record names the gene U5. It matches the Rfam family "U5 spliceosomal RNA". From Rfam's summary of the family: U5 RNA is a component of both types of known spliceosome. The precise function of this molecule is unknown, though it is known that the 5' loop is required for splice site selection and p220 binding, and that both the 3' stem-loop and the Sm site are important for Sm protein binding and cap methylation. Lineage: Eukaryota; Metazoa; Chordata; Actinopteri; Cypriniformes; Cyprinidae. The record is from Ensembl.
AGCCUCGAGUUUCUCUUCAUUGUCGCAUAAAUCUUUUGCCUUUUACUAAAGAUUUCCGUGGAGGGGAGCUUUUGCGAGUGACCUGUAUUUUUUUGGGGGCUCUGCUCACAGCAGAGCU